CUACGCAGCGUACACAUGCAAGUCGAGCGGAAACGAUGGAGCUUGCUCCAGGCGUCGAGCGGCGGACGGGUGAGUAAUGCAUAGGAAUCUGCCCGGUAGUGGGGGAUAACCUGGGGAAACCCAGGCUAAUACCGCAUACGUCCUACGGGAGAAAGCAGGGGAUCUUCGGACCUUGCGCUAUCGGAUGAGCCUAUGUCGGAUUAGCUUGUUGGUGAGGUAAUGGCUCACCAAGGCGACGAUCCGUAGCUGGUCUGAGAGGAUGAUCAGCCACAUCGGGACUGAGACACGGCCCGAACUCCUACGGGAGGCAGCAGUGGGGAAUAUUGGACAAUGGGCGAAAGCCUGAUCCAGCCAUGCCGCGUGUGUGAAGAAGGCUUUCGGGUUGUAAAGCACUUUCAGUGAGGAAGAAGGCCUUGGGGCCAAUACCCCCGAGGAAGGACAUCACUCACAGAAGAAGCACCGGCUAACUCCGUGCCAGCAGCCGCGGUAAUACGGAGGGUGCGAGCGUUAAUCGGAAUUACUGGGCGUAAAGCGCGCGUAGGCGGCGUGAUAAGCCGGUUGUGAAAGCCCCGGGCUCAACCUGGGAACGGCAUCCGGAAC
RNAcentral lists this ribosomal RNA (600 nucleotides) under Halomonas ventosae. Its description in RNAcentral is "bacterial SSU rRNA". It matches the Rfam family "Bacterial small subunit ribosomal RNA", at positions 36 to 633 of the family's 1533-position model. Lineage: Bacteria; Pseudomonadati; Pseudomonadota; Gammaproteobacteria; Oceanospirillales; Halomonadaceae. The record is from RNAcentral.